AUUGAACGCUGGCGGCAGGCCUAACACAUGCAAGUCGAGCGGCAGCGGAAAGUAGCUUGCUACUUUGCCGGCGAGCGGCGGACGGGUGAGUAAUGUCCGGGAAACUGCCUGAUGGAGGGGGAUAACUACUGGAAACGGUAGCUAAUACCGCAUAACGUCGCAAGACCAAAGAGGGGGACCUUCGGGCCUCUUGCCAUCAGAUGUGCCCAGAUGGGAUUAGCUAGUAGGUGGGGUAACGGCUCACCUAGGCGACGAUCCCUAGCUGGUCUGAGAGGAUGACCAGCCACACUGGAACUGAGACACGGUCCAGACUCCUACGGGAGGCAGCAGUGGGGAAUAUUGCACAAUGGGCGCAAGCCUGAUGCAGCCAUGCCGCGUGUAUGAAGAAGGCCUUCGGGUUGUAAAGUACUUUCAGCGGGGAGGAAGGCGUUGAGGUUAAUAACCUCAGCGAUUGACGUUACUCGCAGAAGAAGCACCGGCUAACUCCGUGCCAGCAGCCGCGGUAA
RNAcentral lists this ribosomal RNA (506 nucleotides) under uncultured bacterium. RNAcentral's name for it is "partial 16S ribosomal RNA". It matches the Rfam family "Bacterial small subunit ribosomal RNA", at positions 30 to 523 of the family's 1533-position model. The record is from RNAcentral.